UUGGUAGCACAAAGGUACGACAUAUAAAAUUCAGUCAAUUGGAUGUGCUGUAUACAAAUAGCUUUAUCGCACCGUUAUUCGCCACUAAUUUAGUUGCAUCACGUUGCAUUUUGUGAAUUACCCUAGAUUUUACCCAAUUAACGCUGCUAUUCGCUUUUUGAGGAUUAUUUACAAUCCGAACCCAAUGUCGGCUGUAUAAAAUCUUGGACAGACUGAUAGUAUUCGUACCAUGAUACAAUUAUCUUGAAAUGAGUUUCAUACUGAUGAUUGUCUUCAUUCCAGAUUAUAGCCUUGAAAUAAUUUUCUUGACAACUUGUACCAUGGUACGAACCAAGGGGUUUCCAACAAGUUUUUUAGUGACAAGUAAUCAAUGAUUACUUUCGAUUUCUCUGAGUAAUCAUGGUAAUCACAAGUAAUCAUGGUAAUCAGAAGUAAUCAUGGUAAUCAGAAGUAAUUAUUAGUAAUCCGAGGUAAUCAAUGGUAAUCAGAUGUAAUCAAUCAUAAUCCAUGGUAAUCAAAAGUAAUCAAAAUAAUCACAAGUAAUCAUGGUAAUCAGAAGUAAUCAUUAGUAAUCUGAGGUAAUCAAUGGUAAUCAGAUGUAAUCAAUGAUAAUCCAUGGUAAUCAAAAGUAAUCAAGGUAAUCACAAGUAAUCAUGGUAAUCAGAAGUAAUCAUGGUAAUCAGAAGUAAUCAUUAGUAAUCCGAGGUAAUCAAUGGUAAUCAGAUAUAAUCAAUGAUAAUCCAUGGUAAUCAAAAGUAAUCAAGGUAAUCACAAGUAAUCGUGGUAAUCAGAUUAAUCACAAGUAAUCACGAGUAAUUAUUUUUAGUCUUACGAUAACCGCAGGUAAUCAUGAGUAAUCUUGAUAAUCAAAAAAUAAUCAUGGUAAUCAGAGUAAUCACAAGUAAUCACGAGCAAUCAUGAGUAAUCACGGGUAAUCAAUUGUAAUCAUAUGGUAAUCACAGAUAAUCAUGAGCAAUCAACAGCAAUCUAGGUAAUCAAAAAAUAAUCAUGGUAAUCAGAGUAAUCACAAGUAAUCACGAGUAAUCACGGGUAAUCAAUUGUAAUCAUAUGGUAAUCACAGGUAAUCAUGAGUAAUCAACAGUAACCUAGGUAAUCAAAAAAUAAUCAUAGUAAUCAUGGUAAUCAGUGAGUAAUCAGAGUAUUUUUUUCGGUAGUGACAAGCUGUCUUGUGCAUUACCACCAUCAUAACACAAAAAAGCCGCAACAUCAACAUUGUCCUUCUUCCUGCAUCAACGCUACAGCCGACCGUCUCUAUGUUGCUAUCGAACACAUUCGAGACGAACGCAUUGACACAGCUGUCAAACUCGGUACAUCGCCGCCUCACCCAUCAUCGUUUUUGGUACGGCGCGUUUUGGUACCCACUUUCUGGUCGGUUUACCCUAACUUGCUCCUGAUUUUCGGGUGUGUGGCUCGUGUGUUGCUAGUGCUUAUUUCGAAAAUUACACAUUUCAAGCGAAAUUGUUGUUUUUGAUGAUUGUUUCUCUUUCUUUAUCACUUUGCACGAUAUUAUAUGUAGCAGCGAAGCAGUGUCGAUGUUGAAGCGCAUUUUUGCCGUGUAUAAAGCAAUGAAAACAAAAACAUUGGACGCCAUGUUGAAUCGAAUGUUGGGUUCCUGAUUCUGGCCCUUCGUCAUCCCCCUCCUGAUUGAUACGGUGGCUGCCGCCGCCACGCUCUUCCUCUGCAAAUCUCUUGAGAAGCCGAACGCUUCUUAACCGCCGUUCCGAAGCAGAGCUACAGGGGAUGGCCAAAAUGUUUGGGAUAGGCAACUUUUUUUCUCUCGCAAAAAAAAUCAACAUGCUGUAACUUUUCAUAGAGUGCAUCAAAAAAUCUCAAAUUUUGACUGUUUGUCAAACUAUUAUAUGUGCAUCAUUGGUACAAAUUUGGGCUCGAUUGAUUCAUAUUUCGCGAAGUUAGAACCGUUCGGGUAAAACACUAUUUUUUAGACAACUCAUUUUUGAACUGUCAUAUCUCGGACACCAGUGAACCGAAUUGAAUGAAUUUUUUAACGUUUAUCAACAAUAUAUUGAUACUUAAUACGAUGUUAUAAAAUGUUAUAUUUUCUCACGGCGAAUUAAGUUAUACCGGGUUGAAAUUUUUACCCAUAUAGAGGAAAAUGAGUCAAAUUUACAAUACCACACAAAAAUUAUUAAAUGUGUUCUUUCAUCAAUCAAAAUAGGCUCUAAUACAUAUAUCUGAUUAGAGAUAAUUUGAGAACAGAAGUGGAAAAUCUUUGGAUAUCAACACUAAAAUUUAUUGACAUUGAUGUGAAAAAAUUACAUUUUUUCGAGAAAAGUCCAAAAAGUGUCAAUCCAUGAUAACUUUUUUCAAUGUUUAAAAAGUACCUAUCUUUUAAUAGUUUGUGAAGCAUUUACAUAUUGUUAGUGUACGUUCAAAAUUUCAUUCUAUUCGGUUCACUGGUUUCCGAGAUAUGACAGCUCAAAAAUGAGUUGUCUGAAAAAUAGUGUUUUACCCGAACGGUUCUAACUUUGCGAAAGAUUUAUCAAUCGAGCCCAAAUUUGUACCAAUGAUGCACAUAUAAUAGGUUGACAAACAGUCAAAAUUUGAGAUUUUUUGAUGCGCUCUAUAAAAAGUUAUAGCAUGUUGAAAUUUUUUGUGAGAGAAAAAAAGUUGCCUAUCCCAAACAUUUUGGCCAUCCCCUGUAUGUCACUCACUGCGGGGUGACUCUCGUCUAAAAAUGCCAGGAUGAGGGUCAAUUUGUUAAGUAGUAUUGCAUGGCGCAGCAAACACAAACAUAGCACGCCCUAUGAAUAGAAUGCAAAGCGUAGAACAAAAACUCGCUUCGGUGUUUCAUCGUGUGGUUCGGAAACAAGAGACGAUCGCUGCUGUUGGAUGUGGUUGACUCUGCAUUGAACGAGGGUUGGCUUGAAUGGCUUUUGCGUGAAUCGAUAAUUUUUUGAUGGACUGCGUUUGUCGUAUGAAGUGAUGGUUGGAGCGAGUGUCAUUCGACAUUGACCAUCCUGAAACUGCACAACCCUGGUGACAAGUAAUCAAUUUUGUGGGAAACCCCUUGGUACGAACACCAUCAGUGUGUCCCAGGCCUAACUAGUGUAAUCAGUGCUUGAUUUAAGCGAGGAGGGGGGUGGCAGGGCCCCGGGCCCCCACAAAAUAUCACUUCACGAAAAAAAUGUGAAGCAAGAAAAAAAAAGAAGUCAAAGAAACUUCUUUUGAUGUUUUUUUCUUUUUAUCUGUAUUAACGAGAUUUUUACUGCCGGUGAACGCAUAAAUGUCCCAUGCGCAAAAACAGACAAUCGAGAAAAUCGCGUCCAAAGUUCGAAAAAAGUAAAUUGUCUCAACUAUGAAGUAUAAGUGCUGAAUCGUGUUCUAACAUCACACAUCAACCAAUUUUGAAUUUGAGCACUAAUUUUUGUUUUAGAGCGAUUUUAUAGUUCCAUAGGAUUUCCAAUGAAACGUGACGCUUAUGCGUCCACUUUUAAGAAUGUUACAAAUCGGCCUUGCAUUUUUUCAACAAUUUUUGGAACAAACUGUAAUUGUAAUUGUAAUUGCUCAGUCCACACCCAGGCCGACAACUGUCAGCCCAUCUGCUUGUAGGCAGAUGUGGACCUACUAAGCCUCCCCCGUUAACAUGUCCUACACCGAAUUAGCACACCGGGAUCUUCCACAGGCAGGCGCUGGCGUUACCAGUCCCAACAAGUGUCAGAUACAUUAAAUAGAUGGGGUAGAGGAUAUAAGAAGAUGUGGGAAUAGGAUGGGAAGAGGUAGAAAAUGAAGAGAUAGUAGAGAGGUUUCGAUUUUGUUGCUGAAACGAGAAAAAGAAAGAACGAUAAAGAACAUUAGCGAUAUGUUCAUAGAUUAUGAUUUGGUCGUUUAUUUCUCAUCUAUUUUGUUUCCAUAUCGUUGCAUCGGUGACCAUUUUCAUCGCCUUUCCAGUUUUUGUUAGGGCCAUCUCGCGUUUUUUCGUCAUGUCCUCUUUGCCGGUUGGCGACGUUCGGGAUGUAAGUAGAAAAGCAUGCAUUUAAUAUGAUUAGUACGACAGUAAUUGUGAUUGCUCAGUACUUCCAGCCCAUUUGUCCGCAGUACAUAUCAGGCAUCCCGUUUUAACAAGUGCUACACAGAAUUAGAAACCCGGAUCUCCCACAGACAGUCCUAACUAGUGUCAGAUAAGUUCAAUUGAGGAUAGGAAGCGGCGAAAUGAGACAGUAGAGAAGGUUUGGUACAUUGGUAGCUGUGUUCAUGUGAUGUUUGUCUGACAUUGAAAAACUAUUUUCCGUAGGUGUUUAACUCUCUACCCAAAUUUAAUACCGGAAAAAUAUCUGAUCAGAUGUAUAGUUUGGCAAUUUUGUGUCCAUACAUCUUUUAUCAAGAAGGAAUAAUGUUGUUUACUGUUAUAACAUAAUUCAGUUGAAGGGCAGCAAAUGCAUUGUAAUCCAGAAUAAACCUACAGAAGAUGUCCCAAUAAAAAGUUAACACUAGUUCAACUAACUACACAAACUAAAAAGUGUUAUUAUAUUUUACCACUGAUUUCAUCCUAAUCUUGACCCUAACAUAGUUAUGCGCUUAUUGGACAAUGAGCAAAAAUAGUGUUGUUUCGACAAUAGUCACAUACUAUGCCCUACGACAUUGACGAUUCUAUUGUCUAUGGCUCACCUAUUUAGCGCCACCCAGCAGGGACUUGGUCUGGUACCCAAUUCAGUAUAUCCGCUCCACGUAAUGUACCGUACCUCUUUCGAUUUGUGAUAUAUUACGCGGAACAUUACUCUCUUCAUUCGGAUAGCGGCUAUGUAACCCAUUGGAUUAAAAACCUCCAUCAAACAUGAAGCGAUUAAUCGGAGACUGAAGACUCUAUACCAAAUUUGGCUAAGAGACAGGUAAUCAGUGAAGUCAGUUUUUCUCGUUUGUCAGAGACGAUUGAUACGUAUUAAGACAAACUUUCCACUGCAUCUGCCAGUAAUAAUCGGUGAUCGAUCAACAUUUCGAGUACCUACCCCAAUUUACACAAGAAUGCCAAGGAUCACCGCUCAUGCUUUACAAUACAGUUGGAAAAACUAGAGCAACACCUGGCCACAAUGAUGCAUAAAGCACUAAAGCGGACCGGAAGUGUCGGUGAGCCAGCCCCACCAAUUUUUGGAACAAACUACCUAUUUUUAUUUCCCCAUAUGAUAGUACCCCAUGAUACAUGGUCAUGGGCUCCAAAAUCUCAAUAUUGCCAAAAAUGCACAUGGGACAAUUAUGCUUCCACCGGCAGUUUAGCCCUAGGCUAGCUCAUCUCGGGACCCACGCUUUACUUCCCUUCCGAAGGAAGAACUCACAUUUUGCGAGUUUGUCGGAAGUGGGAUUCGAUCCCAGGUCCUCGGCGUGAUAGUCAAGUGUUCUAACCAUCGGACCUGGUGCUCCACCUUCUCUUGAUUUGAUUUUUAUCACAUAUUCACAUUCUAUAGAGUUCUUGGAAGAAAAUUUAAGAAGAAAUUUGUGGAGCAGUUUACCAAAAAAAAAAAAUUAUCCAGAAUUUUUCGCUGAAGAUUUUUAAGAAAUUUAUUAAAAACAUCCAUUGGAACUUAAGUCAGAAAUUCUUUUGGGAGCUUAUCAUAGAUUCUCUCCAAUUUUUUUUUUCUAUUAGAAUUUCCUUUUUGAUUUUAGAGUUUUGGUCAUAUCUCCUAGUAGUCGCGCUAGAACAAGUUUUUGUUAAGUGUUCAUUCUUCAUGGUGAUCGAUCAGCAACUUCUCCAGAAAUUGCAGCAGGCAUCAACUAGAAAAUGUCUUUGGAUUUCGCAAAAGCACUGAUUGUACUGCAAAUGUUACUGAAAAAAAAUGCAGCUAUAAAUUGUUCUUGCAGUUUCACUAUGAACUCUGGCAUGAAUUUCUACUAAAUAUGGGAUUUAAUGCUGUGCAUACAUUCGUGGAAAGCAUUUUUUACUUUAUAAAACUUUAAUUAUCAUUGUUUUUACGCCGGGAUUUCCAAUCUGUUAUGAAUAAAUUUAGUGGAUAUCAACAUUUUUCCUAGCUCUGCUCUUUGUUUCAGAUUUAAACCAACAUUGAUACCUUUUUACCCUUCUUACACCCAUAAGAAGGGUAUAAAUACCGCUCGAAAAACCGACUUUCGAUCCGAGGCCCGCAGGGCCGAGUCUCAUAUACCAAUCAACUCAGCUCGAUGAACUGAGCAAAUGUCUGUGUGUGUAUGUAUGUGUGUGUGCGUAUGUUACAAAAAAAAGUCACGCACGUUUCUCAGCCGUCUGAUAUCCGAUUUGGAUUCUCUUAGUUGCAAAUGAAAGCUGGUUACUGAGAUAUCUUUCGAAGAGUACUUAGGAGUUAUACAACUAAACUUUUUGUGGUUUUACUUACAAAGUGUAUCAUACUAAAUAUCUCAAACGUCUGUCAACCAAUUUCGGUUCUCCUGGCACCAAAUGAAAGUUAUAAUAUCCUAGUAGAACCCUAUACAAUUUUAUUAGGAUUGGACUUUUGGUUAUCGAGAUAUCUCUCUAAGAGUACUUAAGAGUAAUACAGGUUAACCUUUGAGAGAUUUUUGACCAAGUGUAUCAUAAUAAAUAUCUCAGCCAUCUGUUAACCGAUUUUGGUUCUCUUAGCACCAAAUGAAAGCCACAGUAUCCUUGUAAAAGGCCCUGAAAUUUUAUUUCGAUUGGACAUUUGUUUACUGAGAUAUCUUUCGAAGAGUAUUUCAAUAAAUUCUUUUUUUA
Long non-coding RNA from Aedes albopictus (Asian tiger mosquito), 6691 nucleotides. RefSeq lists it as uncharacterized. The transcript is spliced from 2 exons. Lineage: Eukaryota; Metazoa; Arthropoda; Insecta; Diptera; Culicidae. The record is from RefSeq and is a predicted model, not a curated record.